RNAcentral lists this long non-coding RNA (202 nucleotides) under Lathyrus oleraceus (garden pea). Its description in RNAcentral is "Pisum sativum (pea) long non-coding RNA (PSAT_LNC025963)". Lineage: Eukaryota; Viridiplantae; Streptophyta; Magnoliopsida; Fabales; Fabaceae. The record is from RNAcentral.
AUGAAUUUCACAAGUCACAGGUUCAAAAUAACAGCUUCACAAUGAUCAUGUUGCAGAUGAACUUAGAGAGAUCUUGAAUGAUAUAUCAUAUGGAGUUUCAAAUUGCAAGCACUUGGUUUCUCAAUAAGCUGGCAUUGGCCAAGUCCUUUAGCCUAGGAAUGUUGCCUAAAUUCUAAGUUCAUCUGUCCAAGAUCAAGCCAAC